Long non-coding RNA from Myotis davidii, 625 nucleotides. RefSeq lists it as uncharacterized. The record is from RefSeq and is a predicted model, not a curated record. The transcript has 3 exons. NCBI's taxonomy places the organism in Eukaryota, Metazoa, Chordata, Mammalia, Chiroptera, Vespertilionidae.
GUUUCCCUGAGCUAUCUCAAGUGCAGAGGGCCUGGGAGGGGCCCUGGCUGGGGCCUGAUCCUGAGCAAACGAUUCCCGCCCCCUCCAGGGUGUGCUCUCUUCAAGGACCAAACACUGAGCCUCCCUCUGGGAACAGCGGGACUGACAUCACAACCCCAGGACGCGGACCCUGGUAAAGUACAGGAUGAGGACGCUGAUAGGUCGUCUUCCCAGGAGGUGGCUUUUCCCCAAACAUGGGACCGAUAAGCCCUUCCCAGAAGAUGGAAGACAACUUCAGAUGCAGAACUCAUGCCUCCAUUCAAACUAAUGAGACUGCUGAGCCCCUGCUGGGUCCACUGUGGGCUCAGCACAGAACCCCAGAGAAUUCUCUCAUUGGGAAGGAGGCCACCACCGAGGAGAGAGAGAAGCGAAGGCACAAAGAAGCAACUCACUCGAGGGCAUGAGGUUGUCAGCAAUGAAGAUGGUGCCAUUAGCUGCUAACCCAACGCUGGCUCUCGGACCUCCUACUGAACUACACGUCUCCGUGGGGAACCCACCCACCAACAGGGUCUCAAUUCAAAGACACACUCACACUGCCGCUCCUCUAUCUUCAACUCCGCCACUCUCUGCAAACGGAAGGCCAUAG